CUUUGUAUAAACAAGGCACGCCUUGCUAAUGACUGUGCCCCUGAAGAAGAACUAAAAGACUGAUAAGAAGGGACCAUCCUACCCCAGGAGGCACCAAAAGUUGAAUAAUUGCUAAUAGGCAUGAAGUCAGCAAAAAUCUUCCAUAACUGGAGGAAAGGCAUGAGGUGUGCUAGCUUUGUGGAUUACCACCUAGCCCCCAUCUUUGCACAAACAUGAAUUGGAAUAAAAUACCUCUGCUCUG
Molecule: long non-coding RNA, 241 nt
Organism: Harpia harpyja (harpy eagle)
Lineage: Eukaryota; Metazoa; Chordata; Aves; Accipitriformes; Accipitridae
Exons: 2
Source: RefSeq, a predicted model, not a curated record